RNAcentral lists this ribosomal RNA (460 nucleotides) under uncultured bacterium. RNAcentral's name for it is "partial 16S ribosomal RNA". It matches the Rfam family "Bacterial small subunit ribosomal RNA", at positions 28 to 523 of the family's 1533-position model. The record is from RNAcentral.
GAUGAGCGCUGGCGGCGUGCCUAAUACAUGCAAGUCGAGCGGUAAGGCUCCUUCGGGAGUACACGAGCGGCGGACGGCUGAGUAACACGUAGGAACGUACCCCAAAGUGAGGGAUAACUGCUCGAAAGAGUAGCUAAUACUGCAUGUGAUCCACGGAUUAAAGCUUUAUGUGCUUUGGGAACGGCCUGCGUUCGAUUAGCUUGUUGGCGGGGUAAAAGCCCACCAAGGCGACGAUCGAUAGCUGGUCUGAGAGGAUGAUCAGCCAGACUGGGACUGAGACACGGCCCAGACUCCUACGGGAGGCAGCAGUAGGGAAUCUUCCACAAUGGGCGAAAGCCUGAUGGAGCAACGCCGCGUGCAGGAUGAAGGCCUUCGGGUUGUAAACUGCUUUUAUUGGUGACGAUUAUGACGGUAACCAAUGAAUAAGGGUCCGCUAACUACGUGCCAGCCGCCGCAGUAA